This 333-nucleotide ribosomal RNA is filed under the name Triticum aestivum (bread wheat). RNAcentral describes it as "partial small subunit ribosomal RNA". Lineage: Eukaryota; Viridiplantae; Streptophyta; Magnoliopsida; Poales; Poaceae. The record is from RNAcentral.
AUGGGAGACUUGAAUGAUAUCCUGUAUGAUGUUGAUGGUUGUAUUGGUAAUAUCAACUACUAUCGGAUGCAUGCUUUCCGAUCCUUGGUUAAAAAUUAUGGCUUGUUUGACAUUGUCUUUAGUGGCCCUGCUUAUACUUGGUGUGGUAGGCAGAAUACUUCUAAUCCUAUUCAUAGACGCCUCGAUUGUUGCUUGGUUAAUUCUGAUUGGUGCUCUUAUUAUCCUAAUACCUAAGUUUUGAACCUUCCCAUCAUUCUCAGUGAUCAUGCUCCUAUUUUAAUUUCUACUGAGAGUAAAUUUGUGAAACCUAAGCAAAUUUUCAAAUUUGAGAAU